GAUGAACGCUGGCGGCGUGCCUAAUACAUGCAAGUCGAGCGAACGGACGAGAAGCUUGCUUCUCUGAUGUUAGCGGCGGACGGGCGAGUAACACGUGGAUAACCUACCUAUAAGACUGGGAGAACUUCGGGAAACCGGAGCUAAUACCGGAUAAUAUUUUGAACGGCAUGGUUCAAAAGUAAAAGACGGUCUUGCUGUCACUAAUAGAUGGUUCCGCGUUGCAUUAGCUAGUUGGUAAGGUAACGGCUUACCAAGGCAACGAUGCGUAGCUGACCUGAGAGGAUGAUCAGCCACACUGGAACUGAGACACGGUCCAGACUCCUACGGGAGGCAGCAGUAGGGAAUAUUCCGCAAUGGGCGCAAGCCUGACCGAGCCACACCGCGUGAGUGAUGAAGGUCUUCGGAUCGUAAAGCUCUGUUAUUGGGAAAGAAAAGAUGUGUGUGUAACUGUCGACAUUUUGACGGUACCUAAUGAGAAAGCCCCGGCUAACUUCGUG
This 497-nucleotide ribosomal RNA is filed under the name uncultured bacterium. Its description in RNAcentral is "partial 16S ribosomal RNA". It matches the Rfam family "Bacterial small subunit ribosomal RNA", at positions 28 to 507 of the family's 1533-position model. The record is from RNAcentral.